RNAcentral lists this long non-coding RNA (2733 nucleotides) under Arabidopsis lyrata. RNAcentral's name for it is "long non-coding RNA (ALYR_LNC001556)". The record is from RNAcentral. Lineage: Eukaryota; Viridiplantae; Streptophyta; Magnoliopsida; Brassicales; Brassicaceae.
GUCCUUGACAAAAACGGUGUUGUUCAGCUCAUCUACAACAACCAGUUCCAGCCUGAGAAACACAUUGACGAGACCUUGAAGUUUCUUAAAGCUGCUUGAUCAUUCUCUCUUUCUCUUUCUUCGUCCUUAAUGCAUGUCUCAUGUCUGGCUCCAUGACCUUCCCAUACUGUUUCUGUUGAUUAUGAAUUUUCAAUAAUACCAUGCUAUACUAAUGAGAAGUGAGUUGGCUUUGGUCUGGUAAAAAGAUCACAACGGGAUAAGUAUUGAAGAGUGGUUAAAAUGUUGGUCAGAGUUGGAUUGGCAAAGAAUGUUGUUUCAUUUAUAUGGCUUGAAUGUUUGCUCACUUCAAAAUCUUGCUCACCAUUGACGUUGAAGAAAGAAGCUUUUGAAAGAAAAAAUGAAGACAAGAAAGAGGCAAAAGCUUUGAAGACAACUAAUUCGGUAAACAAAGAAUCUCAACCUUGUGAAUGUUGAGAUCAUCUUUUUUACGGAACAUCAUUAACAGUUUAUCUUCUUGAACCUCUAUAUCAUCGUAAAGAUUGGGCUUUUCACGUUGAAGAUUUCGAAAGUUUUGCUCUCUCAGCUUGUUAUCUCAUCAAGCUUAUGAUAUAGGUAACUCGAGCCCUUGAUUAGAAUUGUAAAACACAAAGCUUUCUUGAUUUUAACUAUAGAGAUUGGAACUCACGUCUCAACCUUGUAUCAUUUGUAUAUACAUUGGAACUAUGUAAAACAUCAAAACAAUUCGGCCUCUAAUAUUUGAAAUUUAAAACGGUUAUUUCUUCUCAUUGUGUUUCUUUCUUGAUUUGAGUAUAGACAGGAAUAAAGGUAGAUCCUUUGGAUUAUAUGAAGAAUAUGGCAAACCUCUGAUUUUUUCACAUUUGUAUCAAACGACGACGUAAUGAGUCAGAAACACCGAGGGCCUCUCGUUUCAUGAGAGAGAGAAAAAAAAUCUUAUCUUUGUGACAGCGGUGGUGGUGUGUGAUGUUGUCAGCCAUGGCAAAGACAGAGCAACAACGAUCUCUCUCUUUUCCCUUCUUCUGUGUCUGUCUUUAAAUAGAGUCUCUUUGAAACGAAGCAGCUUUGUCCUGUUUUGAUAUCCAUGGCUUUACCUUCGUGCUUAAAGACUGGAGUUUUAAUGUCUCCGGCCACUGGAAUUAAUUUUUCCGGCAGUCUUAUGAAGUUGGACAGUGGCUUUGCCGUUCCGACAAAGUUACAGAGUAAUCGAAAAGGUGAUCGAGAAAGAUUGAGAAUCCAAGCUGUCUUCAGUUUCCCUCCUGCGUUUCUGACAAGAAACGGUCGAGCUGAGAAGCAGAAACAGCUCAAACAAGAACUUCUUGAAGCCAUUGAGCCUCUUGAACGCGGUGCUAUGGCCUCGCCUGAUGACCAGCUUCGGAUUGAUCAGGUUCUUGAUUUCUCUUCCUUUAGGAACCAUUAGGGUCUAGAGAAUGUGAUUGAGAGACAAGUCUGAGUGACUUUUGUUUGUAUGGAGACAGUUAGCGCGUAAGGUGGAAGCAGUUAAUCCCACCAAGGAGCCUUUGAAAUCUGAUUUGAUCAAUGGGAAAUGGGAGCUUAUUUAUACAACCUCUGCUUCGAUUUUGCAGGCAAAGGUUAGGGCUUGUGUUGUUAUUGUUGUGUCUAAGUUUGCUUUUUUUUCUUGGCUUGUUGUGUCAUUCUCUUUUAUCUCUUAAACAAUGCAACAGAAACCAAGGUUCUUAAGAUCAAUUACCAACUACCAAUCUAUCAAUGUGGAUACAUUGAAGGUGCAAAACAUGGAGACUUGGCCUUUCUAUAACUCGGUAAUGUUUCAUUGUGGCUUGACUUGGCUCUUAACAAAGGAUAAAGACCAAACUUUUUAUCAUCAAUAUAGCUCUUUGGCGAGUCUUUCCUAUGUAUAAGUAAUAUUCCUUUAGCUGAGUUUGUAAAAGGAGUCUCAUAUAUUAGCAAACUACAAUCUUUUCAUAGGUAACUGGAGACAUAAAACCCCUCAAUUCGAAGAAGGUUGCUGUGAAACUCCAAGUGUUUAAAAUUCUCGGCUUUGUAAGUACACUAAAACUCUUACUGCUAUACGUGUGUGUGUCGAUAAGAGAACCUUACUGAUUCAGACACCAUAUGCUUCAUUUACUGAUUGGUGUGUGCUGUGCAGAUUCCUGUAAAAGCACCUGAUAGUGCACGCGGUGAACUAGAGAUUACCUAUGUGGAUGAGGAACUACGGUCAGUAGUGAAUGCACGUUUUCAUUUCUAUCGAACAAACCUUAAAACCUUAAAACAAUGUUUAUGUUUUGCAGGUUAUCAAGGGGUGACAAAGGCAACUUGUUUAUAUUGAAGAUGUUCGAUCCCACUUAUCGAAUCCCUCUCUGAUCUGUCGAACGAAAAUGGUCCGAGCCAUCCAUCAUACAUGCCUGAUACCCGCUUGUUCUGUCUCUCUUCAUCAUGUAUGUAAUCUAACAUAAAAAUAAUUAAUAAGAGGGAAUAAAAAGAGACGAGCUUUUUUCAUUGUUUCAACUUGUUCAAAUCAAAGAUUCUGAAUCUUGAUUUGGUUGAAUUGUGCUUACUUGAUCAGUUGGCUCCAAUCCUAAACUAUAUGAUACUGAAUCAGUACAAUCACCUUGAAGUUCCUCAAAGCUGCUUAUAUAGUUAUAUCAUUCUCUCUUUCAUGCAUGUCUCAUGUCUGUCUCCAUGACCUUCCUAUAUUGUUUCUGUUGAUUAUGAAUUUUCAAUAACACUAAGUUAAAC